CACGAACCGUCCAAACGUUAUUCGGAAUCAUUGGGCUUAAAGGGUGCGUAGGCGGCGCUUUAAGUCGGGUGUGAAAUCCCUCGGCUCAACCGAGGAACUGCGCCCGAUACUGAAGUGCUAGAGGGAGACAGGGGUGAGCGGAACUGAUGGUGGAGCGGUGAAAUGCGUUGAUAUCAUCAGGAACACCGGUGGCGAAAGCGGCUCACUGGGUCUCUUCUGACGCUGAGGCACGAAAGCCAGGGUAGCGAACGGG
Molecule: ribosomal RNA, 253 nt
Filed under: uncultured bacterium
Lineage: Bacteria
Description: partial 16S ribosomal RNA
Rfam family: Bacterial small subunit ribosomal RNA
Source: RNAcentral